This 1484-nucleotide long non-coding RNA is filed under the name Pogona vitticeps (central bearded dragon). RNAcentral's name for it is "lncRNA (ENSPVIG00000022398.1)". The record is from RNAcentral. Lineage: Eukaryota; Metazoa; Chordata; Lepidosauria; Squamata; Agamidae.
AUGUGUUGCCCGGCGGUCGCAGUUACUUUGGGGAUCCUAGCCUUGUUGUUCUGCGAUAGGCCCGGCUGUGGAGAGAUUCCCCCUGAUACACACCACUCUGAUAAUGGCACUUCUUCAGGACUGGAAAAUGUGGGAGAGCCAUCACCUCCUGAAGCAAUGGAUCCCAUUUAUGUUCAUAUUGGUGCCAAGGAAAUCACUCUCCCUUGCAAGCCUUCAAAAACUGACGUUGUAUUUGGUAUGAAUCCCAGCUACAACUGGAGCCUGGAUAAUGGAGAAAUCCAUGCUCUCCCUGGUGAUGCUACCCUGACUCUACAUAUGUUUCGCCCUGAGGAUAGUGGACUGUAUGAGUGCUCAAUCUCCUAUAUUAAACAAGGUCAACUCCACACCAAGACUUUCUACCAUACAGUGGUGGGCUAUCACAUACGUGGAGAGCUGGAGAUCCUACUGGUAUUUGAGAGCAGCUCUUGUGAUGAGGAUUUGACUCGUGGGUUCUUGAGAACCUUGCAUGAGCAGCUGAAUCAAGUGGUGUCUCGCCUCCACACUGAGAUCCUCGUUGGGGAUACCACCUGCUUCCCAACCUUGAACAAGCCUUUAGAUGCGUUCAACCUUCAGGUAGCGCUAAAAGUGUCUCCCUUCAUCAAGGGCUGGGAUGAAUCCUGCUCCCCCAAGAUUGAUCAGCUAGAAUUUGAAUGUUACCACUCAGCGGUCCAGACCAAUCUACAGAAAGCCAAGGAUGCAUUGACUGAUUUCUUUGAAGAGAACAAACAUUUCCACCUGGGAGAAACCCUUGGCUCCCGUGCCUCCUUUAUGAACACCUUUUUCAACUUCCUAGAGGGUGGAAAAUGCCAGAGCGGUUACGGACAGACACAGGAACUAGAGGAACGCUGUCCCGACUGCUGUACCUUGUGCCCUCCUGGAACAUAUAGUGAGGCUGCAGUUGAUGGCUGUGUUCUUUGUCCAACUGGGACCUAUAGCCUGCACUAUGGGACAUCUGUCUGUAUAAUGUGCCAGCAUAACUGGCCUACUGAACAUCCUGGUGCCAGAAGAGCUGGAGAGUGCAUGAGUUCAAGAGCCUCUUUAUCACGCCGGUUUCCUGUACUGAUGAUGGCACUUGUCUUACUGCCACUUGGUUGCCUUUGUCUCAUUGUGCUGUGAGUUCUGGGUUAUUGUUGUUCCUCUUUAAUCUCAGUUCUGUAGUAAAGUUUGGUAAACCAAAGAUUUAUAAUGGUUUACUGGUCAUUAAUCCAGUAUGGAGCAAGGUAGAUUUGGUAUAAAUCAAGUCAAUUUAAAUACAGUUAUUUAAAUCAUUAGUCAAUAAGACUUGAUUUAAAUCAUUAUUUUUAAAUGUAAAGACUCAUUCUUGCUCGUAGUUAUAAUUAGAGAUGGGAUUAUAAAUAUCCCUGGUGCAGGUGUCCCAGAUCCCCAGACCCGCCGCCCAGAACCAACCAGUCCACUUACAAGUUGCGGCACAGUGCAUGAGGCCA